This 310-nucleotide unclassified non-coding RNA is filed under the name uncultured Hygrocybe. RNAcentral describes it as "sequence contains ITS2". The stretch from base 1 to 52 matches the Rfam family "5.8S ribosomal RNA", at positions 103 to 154 of the family's 154-position model. Lineage: Eukaryota; Fungi; Basidiomycota; Agaricomycetes; Agaricales; Hygrophoraceae. The record is from RNAcentral.
AACGCACCUUGCGCCUCUUGGUAUUCCGAGGGGCAUGCCUGUUUGAGUGUCAUGAAACCAUCAAUGGGGGGACCUUUCUUUUAGAGAGGCCUCCUCCUUUGAAUGUGGAGUGUGCUGGCUUGUUCAGCUCCUCUGAAAUGCAUUAGCGAUGUGGUGUUCCACCUGCUCGAGCUUCGUUGGCAUUGAUAGUCAUUCAUGUCAGAGUUGUUCAGCUGUGGCAAGGUCCACUUGCUCCUAAUUUGUCGAUGGACUCCUCCAUCCUUUGACUCCUUAUAACCUCAAAUCAGGCAGGACUACCCGCUGAACUUAA